UACGUAGGCAGCAAGCGUUGUUCGGAAUUACUGGGCGUAAAGAGUGUGUAGGCGGUGCUCCAAGUCUGGUGUGAAAUCUCCCGGCUUAACUGGGAGGGUGCAUUAGAAACUGGAAUGCUAGAGGAUGGGAGAGGUAAGCGGAAUUCCUGGUGUAGCGGUGAAAUGCGUAGAUAUCAGGAGGAACACCUGUGGUGUAGACAGCUUACUGGACCAUUUCUGACGCUGAGACGCGAAAGCGUGGGUAGCAAACAGG
This 253-nucleotide ribosomal RNA is filed under the name uncultured bacterium. RNAcentral describes it as "partial 16S ribosomal RNA". It matches the Rfam family "Bacterial small subunit ribosomal RNA", at positions 524 to 776 of the family's 1533-position model. The record is from RNAcentral.